AAUAUUGGACAAUGGGGGCAACCCUGAUCCAGCCAUGCCGCGUGUGUGAAGAAGGUCUUCGGAUUGUAAAGCACUUUAAGUUGGGAGGAAGGGCUUUAGGCUAAUACCCUGAAGUUUUGACGUUACCAACAGAAUAACGACCGGCUAACUUCGUUCCAGCAGCCGCGGUAAUACGAAAGGUGGAAGCGUUAAUCGGAAUUACUGGGCGUAAAGCGCGCGUAGGUGGUUCGUUAAGUUGGAAGUGAAAGCCCCGGGCUUAACCUGGGAAUUGCUUUCAAAACUGACGAGCUAGAGUACGGUAGAGGGUAGUGGAAUUUCCUGUGUAGCGGUGAAAUGCGUAGAUAUAGGAAGGAACACCAGUGGCGAAGGCGACUACCUGGACUGAUACUGACACUGAGGUGCGAAAGCGUGGGGAGCAAACAGG
RNAcentral lists this ribosomal RNA (424 nucleotides) under uncultured bacterium. RNAcentral's name for it is "partial 16S ribosomal RNA". It matches the Rfam family "Bacterial small subunit ribosomal RNA", at positions 360 to 776 of the family's 1533-position model. The record is from RNAcentral.